GACGAACGCUGGCGGCGUGCUUAACACAUGCAAGUCGAACGGAAAGGCCUGCUUUCCCUUGUGGCUUGCGGGUACUCGAGUGGCGAACGGGUGUGUAACACGUGUGUGAUCUGCCCCCAACUUGGGUAUAAGCCUGGGAAACUGGGUCUAAUUCCCGAUAGGACUGCAGGGUGCUGCCUGUGGUUGAAAACGAUUUUCUAGUGGUUGGGGAUGAGCUCGCGGCCUAUCAGCUUGUUGGUGGGGUAAUGGCCUACCAAUGCGGCGACGGGUAGCCAGCCUGAGAGGCUGGACGGGGACAUUGGGACUGAGAUGCCGCACUGACACCGACGGGAGGCAGCAGUUGGGAAGAGAGGACAAGGGGCGGAAGCCUGAGGCAGCGGCGACGCCGGGAGGAUGACGGCCUUCGAGUUGUAAACUCCUUUCGGACGCGAGGAAGCCACCUAGAUGGAAGGGUGGUGACGGUAGUGGUAGAAGAAGCCCCGGCUAACUACGUG
Molecule: ribosomal RNA, 494 nt
Filed under: uncultured bacterium
Lineage: Bacteria
Description: partial 16S ribosomal RNA
Rfam family: Bacterial small subunit ribosomal RNA
Source: RNAcentral